AUUGAACGCUGGCGGCAUGCUUUACACAUGCAAGUCGAACGGUAGCGCGGGCUUCGGCCUGGCGGCGAGUGGGGAACGGGUGAGUAAUGCAUCGGAACGUGCCCAGUCGUGGGGGAUAGGCCGGCGAAAGGCGGAUUAAUACCGCAUACGCACUGAGGGUGAAAGCGGGGGAGCGAAAGGUCACGCGCUAUUGGCGCGGCCGAUGUCGGAUUAGCUAGUUGGUGGGGUAACGGCUUCCCAAGGCGACGAUCCGUAGCUGGUCUGAGAGGACGACCAGCCACACUGGGACUGAGACACGGCCCAGACUCCUACGGGAGGCAGCAGUGGGGAAUUUUGGACAAUGGGGGCAACCCUGAUCCAGCCAUGCCGCGUGCAGGAAGAAGGCCUUCGGGUUGUAAACCGCUUUUGUUCGGGAGGAAAGCCUCUAGGCUAAUACCCCGGGGGAAUGACGGUACCGGAAGAAUAAGCACCGGCUAACUACGUG
Molecule: ribosomal RNA, 484 nt
Filed under: uncultured bacterium
Lineage: Bacteria
Description: partial 16S ribosomal RNA
Rfam family: Bacterial small subunit ribosomal RNA
Source: RNAcentral